AUAUUGGACAAUGGGCGAAAGCCUGAUCCAGCCAUGCCGCGUGUGUGUAGAAUGUCUUCGGAUUGUAAAGCACUUUAAGUUGGGAGGAAGGGUUUGAAGCUAAUACCUUCAAUCUUUGACGUAACCAACAGAAUAAGAACCGGCUAACACUGUUCAAGUAGCCGCGGUAAUAAAGAGGGUGCAAGCGUUAAUCGGAAUUACUGGGCGUAAAGCGCGCGUAGGUGGUUCAGUAAGAUGGAAGUGAAAUCCCCGGGCUUAACCUGGGAACUGCUUUCAUAACUGCUGAGCUAGAGUACGGUAGAGGGUAGUGGAAUUUCCUGUGUAGCGGUGAAAUGCGUAGAUAUAGGAAGGAACACCAGUGGCGAAGGCGACUACCUGGACUGAUACUGACACUGAGGUGCGAAAGCGUGGGGAGCAAACAGG
Molecule: ribosomal RNA, 423 nt
Filed under: uncultured bacterium
Lineage: Bacteria
Description: partial 16S ribosomal RNA
Rfam family: Bacterial small subunit ribosomal RNA
Source: RNAcentral